GUGAAAAGUGCAGAUUUGGAGUCUGAGGCAGACUUUGGGGUCUGGGGGGAGGUUUUGGGAGGAAAUGGUGAGGUAAAAAGUUCAGGUUUUGAGGUAGAAAGUGCGGAUUUUGAGAUAAAAAUGCAGAUUUUGGGGUGAAAAAGGCAGAUUUUGGGGUGUGGGAGGAAAUGCUGAAGUACAAAAGUGCAGAUUUUGAGGUGAAAAGUGCAGAUUUGGAGUCUGAGGCAGACUUUGGGGUCUGGGGGGAGGUUUUGGGAGGAAAUGGUGAGGUAAAAAGUUCAGGUUUUGAGGUAGAAAGUGCGGAUUUUGAGAUAAAAAUGCAGAUUUUGGGGUGAAAAAGGCAGAUUUUGGGGUGUGGGAGGAAAUGCUGAAGUACAAAAGUGCAGAUUUUGAGGUGAAAAGUGCAGAUUUGGAGUCUGAGGCAGACUUUGGGGUCUGGGGGGAGGUUUUGGGAGGAAAUGGUGAGGUAAAAAGUUCAGGUUUUGAGGUAGAAAGUGCGGAUUUUGAGAUAAAAAUGCAGAUUUUGGGGUGAAAAAGGCAGAUUUUGGGGUGUGGGAGGAAAUGCUGAAGUACAAAAGUGCAGAUUUUGAGGUGAAAAGUGCAGAUUUGGAGUCUGAGGCAGACUUUGGGGUCUGGGGGGAGGUUUUGGGAGGAAAUGGUGAGGUAAAAAGUUCAGGUUUUGAGGUAGAAAGUGCGGAUUUUGAGAUAAAAAUGCAGAUUUUGGGGUGAAAAAGGCAGAUUUUGGGGUGUGGGAGGAAAUGCUGAAGUACAAAAGUGCAGAUUUUGAGGUGAAAAGUGCAGAUUUGGAGUCUGAGGCAGACUUUGGGGUCU
This is a long non-coding RNA of Corvus hawaiiensis (hawaiian crow), 831 nucleotides long. RefSeq lists it as uncharacterized. The transcript is spliced from 5 exons. The record is from RefSeq and is a predicted model, not a curated record. NCBI's taxonomy places the organism in Eukaryota, Metazoa, Chordata, Aves, Passeriformes, Corvidae.